GAUAUCGGGAGAUGCGGCCUUUGUUC
RNAcentral lists this non-coding RNA (26 nucleotides) under Cricetulus griseus (Chinese hamster). Lineage: Eukaryota; Metazoa; Chordata; Mammalia; Rodentia; Cricetidae. The record is from RNAcentral.